GAGCGCCGUAGCAAUACGGAGCGGCAGACGGGAGAGUAACACGCGGGAACGUGCCCUUUGGUCCGGAACAACCCAGGGAAACUUGGGCUAAUACCGGAUAAGUCCGUAAGGAGAAAGAUUUAUCGCCAAAGGAUCGGCCCGCGUCUGAUUAGCUAGUUGGUGAGGUAACGGCUCACCAAGGCGACGAUCAGUAGCUGGUCUGAGAGGAUGAUCAGCCUCACUGGGACUGAGACACGGCCCAGACUCCUACGGGAGGCAGCAGUGGGGAAUAUUGGACAAUGGGCGCAAGCCUGAUCCAGCCAUGCCGCGUGGAUGAUGAAGGCCCUAGGGUUGUAAAGUCCUUUCGGCGGGGAAGAUAAUGACGGUACCCGCAGAAGAAGCCCCGGCUAACUUCGUGCCAGCAGCCGCGGUAAUACGAAGGGGGCUAGCGUUGCUCGGAAUCACUGGGCGUAAAGCGCACGUAGGCGGCUUUCUAAGUCAGAGGUGAAAUCCUGGAGCUCAACUCCAGAACUGCCUUUGAUACUGGAGAGCUUGAGUCCGGGAGAGGUGAGUGGAACUGCGAGUGUAGAGGUGAAAUUCGUAGAUAUUCGCAAGAACACCAGUGGCGAAGGCGGCUCACUGGCCCGGUACUGACGCUGAGGUGCGAAAGCGUGGGGA
Molecule: ribosomal RNA, 657 nt
Filed under: uncultured forest soil bacterium
Lineage: Bacteria
Description: bacterial SSU rRNA
Rfam family: Bacterial small subunit ribosomal RNA
Source: RNAcentral